RNAcentral lists this unclassified non-coding RNA (200 nucleotides) under soil metagenome. RNAcentral describes it as "partial internal transcribed spacer 1". The record is from RNAcentral.
CCGAGUUUACAACUCCCAAACCCAAUGUGAACGUUACCAAACUGUUGCCUCGGCGGGAUCUCUGCCCCGGGUGCGUCGCAGCCCAGGACCAAGGCGCCCGCCGGAGGACCAACCAAAACUCUUAUUGUAUACCCCCUCGCGGGUUUUUUUAUAAUCUGAGCCUUCUCGGCGCCUCUCGUAGGCGUUUCGAAAAUGAAUCA